This 102-nucleotide microRNA precursor is filed under the name Paramuricea clavata. Lineage: Eukaryota; Metazoa; Cnidaria; Anthozoa; Malacalcyonacea; Plexauridae. The record is from RNAcentral.
UGUUUACAACGUUUCGGAGUGUUACUCCAUCUUCAGGUAAUAAAGUUUAACGGCAAUCUUUAUUACCUGAAGAUGGAGUAACACUCCGAAACGUUGUAAACA